UCCGGCUUAUCACCGGCAGUCCCUCUAGAGUGCCCAACUAAAUGCUGGCAACUAAGGACAAGGGUUGCGCUCGUUGCGGGACUUAACCCAACAUCUCACGACACGAGCUGACGACAGCCAUGCACCACCUGCACACAGGCCACAAGGGAAUACCUAUCUCUAGGCACGUCCUGUGCAUGUCAAACCCAGGUAAGGUUCUUCGCAUUGCAUCGAAUUAAUCCACAUGCUCCGCCGCUUGUGCGGGCCCCCGUCAAUUUCUUUGAGUUUUAGCCUUGCGGCCGUACUCCCCAGGCGGAGUGCUUAACGCGUUGGCUGCGACACCGCAAAGGUCAAUACCCACAGCAUCUAGCACUCAUCGUUUACGGCGUGGACUAC
This 375-nucleotide unclassified non-coding RNA is filed under the name uncultured bacterium. Its description in RNAcentral is "contains 16S-23S intergenic spacer region". The record is from RNAcentral.